This 241-nucleotide long non-coding RNA is filed under the name Eucalyptus grandis. RNAcentral describes it as "long non-coding RNA (EGRA_LNC005711)". Lineage: Eukaryota; Viridiplantae; Streptophyta; Magnoliopsida; Myrtales; Myrtaceae. The record is from RNAcentral.
GGAUAGGAGUCUCCAUAAGUUGAGUUUCAUCCCACCAGCCUUGUGUUGAAGUUGUUGACUGAUUGCUGGUUCUUUUUUGUUUCUUUGUAGAGGGAGUUUUUGGUUGUAAGAGGGUUUUUUUCCCCGUGCUAUUUGAGGUCAUUGCUGGUUGGAGAUUUGGAUUGUUUGAGUGCUCCGGCCCAGAGAUCAUCAAUGCUCUUUUCCCUGCAUUGUACAUAGUUAUCUCUUGUGUACUGUUAUG